AAAGAAAUGUUCAACUACAUAAUAGACAAAGUAAAACAACGAACUGCUUCUUGGAGUGUGAAGAAGUUAUCUCCGGCUGGUAAGGAAAUUAUGCUUAAAUCUGUGGCAUUGGCAAUGCCAAUUUACACCAUGUCCUGUUUUAAGAUUCCUGCAAGUGUAGUAAAUGAGAUAGAUUCUGAACUUCAACGCUUCUGGUGGGAAAAAGGGAAUGAAGAGAGGAGUAUACCUUGGGUAGCUUGGAAGAGAUUACAAUUCUCUAAAUUAGAGGGUGGCUUAGGUUUUAAAAACUUAUCAAAAUUUAAUGAUGCUCUUUUAGCAAAACAAGCCUGGAGAAUUUAUAAGUAUCCUG
This 349-nucleotide long non-coding RNA is filed under the name Capsella rubella. RNAcentral describes it as "long non-coding RNA (CRUB_LNC004353)". The record is from RNAcentral. Lineage: Eukaryota; Viridiplantae; Streptophyta; Magnoliopsida; Brassicales; Brassicaceae.